AACGAACGCUGGCGGCAGGCCUAACACAUGCAAGUCGAGCGGACCCUCCGGGGUUAGUGGCGGACGGGUGAGUAACGCGUGGGAAUAUGCCCUUCUCUACGGAAUAGUCCUGGGAAACUGGGGGUAAUACCGUAUACGCCCCUCGGGGGCAAGAUUCAUCGGGGAAGGAUUAGCCCGCGUUGGAUUAGGUUGGUGGUGGGGUAAUGGCCUACCAAGCCGACGAUCCAUAGCUGGUUUGAGAGGAUGAUCAGCCACACUGGGACUAGGACACGGCCCAGACUCCUACGGGAGGCAGGAGUGGGGAAUCUUAGACAAUGGGGGCAACCCUGAUCUAGCCAUGCCGCGUGAGUGAUGAAGGCGUUAGGGUUGUAAAGCUCUUUCAGCUGGGAAGAUAAUGACGGUACCAGCAGAAGAAGCCCCGGCUAACUCCGUG
RNAcentral lists this ribosomal RNA (433 nucleotides) under uncultured bacterium. RNAcentral describes it as "partial 16S ribosomal RNA". It matches the Rfam family "Bacterial small subunit ribosomal RNA", at positions 29 to 507 of the family's 1533-position model. The record is from RNAcentral.